AAAAAGUUGAAUAGAGAAGCACCAGCAGUGAAGAAGAGGCAGGAUCACAACCAUAGACAUCUCAUGAGCAAACCAACCUUUCCUUGGCCUUCAGCAAGGUGUGGAACAGGUAGUAUUCUCAGGAGGAGCUUCAGGGCUUUUUUUUUUUUUCAGGGCUACAGGCUUUCCUACAAAGCAAGGCUUUAUAACAGGAGCUUCAUCAGACACUCUUUUGCAGAGGGAGGGAAAUAACAUCAUCUGUUGUUUCUUUUAAUGUUUGGUGAGGUUACAUGUGGUGCAAUUAGCUGGUGCCAACAGUAGCUGAGCACAAUUUUGCUUUGUGUUAGAAGAAAGCUAUACAUUGUUGUGGGUGGCAGAAUAUUUCUGGGAGGUACAGCUUCGUUGUGGAUUGUAUUUGCAUCACUUCCUGAAAUGGAGAUUGAGGAAGAAUAUUUUUUGAAUUGGAAUGGUUACAUGCUGGUCCAAAAGAGAGAUGAAAGGCAUAGAGCAGUUUCCAUAGAAGAAAAGGCCAGUUGGAUUUGAAAAAAAGGGUGCUGGAGUUGAACACAAUUAUCUACAAAUAAGGAGCAGUUUUGAGAAGAUGCCAAAGGAUUAGAUGGAUUCAGAAACCAAAUGGAUGCAUUCUAAGAAGAAAAAAAUUAAUGAAAUGAAGAGACAUUAUCACCUCCUGCCUAUGCAACCUCUAAGCCACAAAGUGCUGGAAAAAAUUAAGAACAUAUUAAAGAUGUAUCACUAUAUGUUUGGCCUGUUUUUAUGUUCUUCUAUAAACAACCACUUUGUCCACUGUCAGGGACGGGAUAUGGGGUUAGGUGAAAAUUUUGGUCUGAUCAAACCUCAUUAUUCCUCUUAUGUUCUCCUGAUGAAUUUAUUUUCUGCUUCAUUGGCUCAGUCUUCAGUGUACAAGGCCCAUUACCUUGUUAUAAAAGGAAAUUAGAUAGACAAAUUAUUCUUGACAAUUCCUCAGGGUCUGCUACUCCUUACUUCUUGCUUUGUUAUCCUCUCAGGAUGCAGAGAGACAGUCUGAGAUGUCUCUUAUUUGGGCUUACUUUUGCCAAAACCUCAUUUUCCCAAAUUCCCAUUUUACAUUGGACACAUAAAUUACUGCAGUAUGAACUGUUGUAUACUUCCUCUCAUUUUUAUUCUCAAGCCAGCAGACUUUGCAAUAAUUCCAGUCCAGCUGCUUCAUGAAUAGUGCUAAAUGUUUCUUAAACAGUUGCUAAAUUCAGUAAAGGUAUACAUGAGGCCUUAGCAGUUGAUAAUCUGGUUAGUUUGCCUAUUUAAAAAUGAUGGUAUUUGAGUUACAUUGGAAAUUAGAUAAUACAACUAAAAAGCAGUAUGACCAGUUAAUCUCUUAGUCACAAAAAUGAGGAAGUGAAUGUUGUUUGAUCAUCACUUUUGUUUCAUGUUGGAAAGCUACAAAAAGAAAUUCAUUUUUCUCUCCAAAACAAAUAUAUUCUUUGCUUUUAUGAAAAUAAACAGAUAAAUUUUAAAAAGAUUAUUUAGCUGCAUCACCAAUCUUGUGGAUAAGUAAAAGAAAAUACAGUUUAUUCAUUCCAUUAGUGGCUUUUUACAUGUGAGAAGAUAAAGCUGUAUAAAACUGUUGAAAUACAAUGAAUAACAAAUUGGAAACAUGCACAUGAUCCACCUCUUAACUGCCUUAUAUGCCUUCCUUUUGUUAGUUACCUUAGUUGCUUGCAACAGCAUAAAAUAAGUCAUUAACCUUAAUCACAGCGCAGCAGAGCAGACUAUAGUUAGCGUCAGUAGAGAAAGGAAGUUACUAUCAUCACCACUGUAUCUUUUAAUUCAUCCUUUGAACUUAUUUCACAGUUCAGCAGCAGCACUCAUAGCUAUUGCCUUCAACCACUGCUCCAGAAGGCAAAUCUGGAACCUCAGGACAAAGGAAGGGUAAAUGCUACAACAGUCACGUAGUUAGUUCUGGCUGAAGAGUGCCGUACGGGGAUGCCAAAUGCCACACCACAUGCACAAGUGUUACAACAAAUUGUACUGUUUACCAGUUACUUCUGGCACAGUCUUCUUGUAACUCAAUCACUUUCAUUGCUCAAAUAUAUUUCUCACUCAAAGAAAAUGUUAGGUCUUCAGAGUUCUCCCACUUACUCUUGUUUAGAUAACUAGAAGAUUAUUAGACAUCUGUUACUGCUCCUUUAGAUGUGACAUCACUAAUAUUCUUAGUGGCUGGGCACAAUUUGCAAGUUUUGCUUCUUUUAAUAUAGUGAUUACAUGGCUGCUAACAAUGCCUUGAUUGGUCAACAACAUCUUAUUAUAAUGUUUGAAUCAUUUUAAAUUAUCUGAAUCUUCAUUUAGAUGUUUAUGUGCCUGUCUUGACACUGUUUCACCAAGCGUAUAUGCUGUAGAUGACUAUAAGGUGUGACAACGUACAGAUGAAACAAAUGAAAUCAUAGGUAAAAAUAUGGUUUUGUUCUAUCUUGAAUUUAUUUAAGCCUAAAAAAUUCCUAAGACUAGGUCCAUGAGGUAGAUUAUGAGGCUUUCCAGCACUGAUGAUUUGAGGUGGUUAGCAUCCCUUGCCACUUCUUUUUUGAAAACUCGAAGUACUGU
Molecule: non-coding RNA, 2574 nt
Organism: Meleagris gallopavo (turkey)
Lineage: Eukaryota; Metazoa; Chordata; Aves; Galliformes; Phasianidae
Source: RefSeq, a predicted model, not a curated record